CCUACGGGGUGCUGCAGUGGGGAAUAUUGGACAAUGGGGGCAACCCUGAUCCAGCGACGCCGCGUGUGUGAAGAAGGCCUGCGGGUUGUAAAGCACUUUUAGUGGGGAGGAAGGUCUGCGACCUAACACGUAGUGGAAUUGACUUAACCCACAGAAAAAGCACCGGCUAACUCUGUGCCAGCAGCCGCGGUAAUACAGAGGGUGCAAGCGUUAAGUGGAGUUACUGGGGGCGAAGCCGUCGUAGGCGGUUGAAAGCCCCGGGCUCAACCUGGGAAUUGCAUUCGAGACUGCGAAGCUGGAGUGCGGAAGAGGGAAGUGGAAUUUCCGGUGUAGCGGUGAAAUGCGUAGAUAUCGGAAGGAACAUCAGUGGCGAAAGCGACUUCCUGGUCCAGCACUGACGCUCAGGCACGAAAGCGUGGGGAGCAAACAGGAUUAGAUACCCUUGUAGUC
This 450-nucleotide ribosomal RNA is filed under the name uncultured bacterium. RNAcentral's name for it is "partial 16S ribosomal RNA". It matches the Rfam family "Bacterial small subunit ribosomal RNA", at positions 338 to 795 of the family's 1533-position model. The record is from RNAcentral.